GGCAACAUGUUCGAGUGGUCUAAGAAGUCAGACUCAAGUUUAAUAACUUAUGCUUAAUGAGCAUCUAGAGGUUUCUGAUCCCGUAAUCGGGGCGUGGGUUCGAAUCCCACUGUUGUCA
Parastrongyloides trichosuri is the source of this 118-nucleotide non-coding RNA. Lineage: Eukaryota; Metazoa; Nematoda; Chromadorea; Rhabditida; Strongyloididae. The record is from Rfam.